AUGCGCAUGCACAGGUGGACUGGCGGAGGAGGGGGAGAGAAGAUCCUGCAUGCGGUGUUCGUGCAGUCCUGGUUCAAGGAGAUCAAGGGCGUCAAGAGGCCGCUCGACCAGGCCACGCAGAAGCACUGCUCCUUUGGGUUCUUCACGUUCCUGGAGCGCGAGAACACCGCCACCGCCAUGGACAACAUGGAUGGCGCUGAGUUCUUCGGCCGCGUCCUCACCGUGAACUACACCUUCCCCGAGAAAAUCAAGGGAGGGGAGCAGGGAUGGGCCGCGCAGCCAGGUAUGUCAUGUGUCCCGUGCUUCUCCUCUGUUCAAUUACGUUACGCUCUGCUUUCGUGCUUGCGUACCUGGUUGCUUGACACUAGGGUUAGGGCUGCCAAAUGUUUUUCUUACCUGGUAUGA
RNAcentral lists this ribosomal RNA (405 nucleotides) under Triticum aestivum (bread wheat). RNAcentral's name for it is "partial small subunit ribosomal RNA". The record is from RNAcentral. Lineage: Eukaryota; Viridiplantae; Streptophyta; Magnoliopsida; Poales; Poaceae.